ACAUUGAACUGAUAAUAACAAUUUUAAUAAUUUUAUUAAGAUGAUGUUGAAGUAAAAAGAAAACGGUACAGAGUUUAAGCAUAGACGUUUCUGGUUAUCAAGGAAUAAGAUACAGAUUAUCAAGGGGUGUGAAAUUUGGUUUAGGAACAGGUGGUGUAAGGAAUACAUAAUCUGCAAUCUCCCCGAUUGGGGGUAAAAGUUUAACGGGUCAAAGUACAGACAUUGAGAUAUGGG
Dermochelys coriacea (leatherback sea turtle) is the source of this 234-nucleotide long non-coding RNA. RefSeq lists it as uncharacterized. The transcript is spliced from 3 exons. Lineage: Eukaryota; Metazoa; Chordata; Testudines; Dermochelyidae. The record is from RefSeq and is a predicted model, not a curated record.